GGAAGAGAAUCGCUCCCGGUGGGGCGGCCGGACUUCAAAUCCGUUAGGGGUCGCUUGCGAUCCUCCGUGGGUUCGACUCCCACUCUCUUCCGCCA
RNAcentral lists this transfer RNA (95 nucleotides) under mine drainage metagenome. Its description in RNAcentral is "tRNA-Sec". It matches the Rfam family "Selenocysteine transfer RNA". The record is from RNAcentral.